Molecule: long non-coding RNA, 291 nt
Organism: Amphimedon queenslandica
Lineage: Eukaryota; Metazoa; Porifera; Demospongiae; Haplosclerida; Niphatidae
Exons: 3
Source: RefSeq, a predicted model, not a curated record
CUUUCAAAUGAAUAUCACCUUCUACUAAAUAUAACUGAUCUCUUAGCAUCAUGUACAAGUAAAGGAUGCCAAUUUGCCAGAUUGAUUGCUGCACAAGUAUUUGCUUUUGAUGACCUUGUUAACAUUGUAUUGAAUCGUAAUAUAAAAGGUUACAGAAAAAUACCUUUUCUUUGUAUUUUGACUUGGACCUACUUAGAUGGGAGAAGUUUUACUCUAUAUAGGCAACUUUUGACUCAUAUGAUGUCCACAAUAGAAAAAUUACAUAAAGAAAGAAAUCGUAUUAUUCCUAUG